ACGCAACGAAAAUUCAGAUAUACAUGGCUUGCACGAGGGUAAGCAACAAUCAAAAGUGAAAGUACUACUACUAUUAUCACCUCCAUACAUGUAUCUUGAUUACAUUUAACCAAAUACAAGCAUACUAUAAUUUACAUCCACUUUUUCCAAAACAUAUGCCAUUUACAUCAUUUAUACACUUCCAUCCCAUUACACUUUUCAUCAUAACCAAAAGAUGAAACAAGGUACCACUAAUAUACGGAUGUCCGCUACCUAGGGCGCUAU
This 264-nucleotide long non-coding RNA is filed under the name Ananas comosus (pineapple). RNAcentral's name for it is "long non-coding RNA (ACOM_LNC001012)". The record is from RNAcentral. Lineage: Eukaryota; Viridiplantae; Streptophyta; Magnoliopsida; Poales; Bromeliaceae.